This 1201-nucleotide ribosomal RNA is filed under the name metagenome. RNAcentral's name for it is "bacterial SSU rRNA". It matches the Rfam family "Bacterial small subunit ribosomal RNA", at positions 8 to 1209 of the family's 1533-position model. The record is from RNAcentral.
AGAGUUUGAUCCUGGCUCAGGAUGAACGCUAGCGGCAGGCUUAACACAUGCAAGUCGAGGGGCAGCACGAUGUAGCAAUACAUUGGUGGCGACCGGCGCACGGGUGCGUAACACGUAUGGAACUUGCCCUUUACUGGGGGAUAGCCCGGAGAAAUCCGGAUUAAUACCCCAUAACAUAUUGAGUGGCAUCACUUGAUAUUAAAAGCUCCGGCGGUAAAGGAUGGCCAUGCGCACGAUUAGCUAGUAGGUGAGGUAACGGCUCACCUAGGCUACGAUCGUUAGGGGGCCUGAGAGGGUUAUCCCCCACACUGGUACUGAGACACGGACCAGACUCCUACGGGAGGCAGCAGUGAGGAAUAUUGCGCAAUGGAGGCAACUCUGACGCAGCCAUGCCGCGUGCAGGAAGAAGGCGCUACGCGUUGUAAACUGCUUUUAACCGGGAAGAAACCCCAGGACGUGUCCUGGGUUGACGGUACCGGAGGAAUAAGCACCGGCUAACUUCGUGCCAGCAGCCGCGGUAAUACGAAGGGUGCAAGCGUUAUCCGGAUUCAUUGGGUUUAAAGGGUGCGUAGGUGGGGCGAUAAGUCAGUGGUGAAAUCCUGCAGCUUAACUGUAGAAUUGCCAUUGAUACUGUCGCUCUUGAGUACGCUUGACGUGGGCGGAAUGUGCCGUGUAGCGGUGAAAUGCUUAGAUAUGGCACAGAACACCGAUAGUGAAGACAGCUCACGAAGGCGAGACUGACACUGAGGCACGAAAGCGUGGGGAUCGAACAGGAUUAGAUACCCUGGUAGUCCACGCCGUAAACGAUGAUCACUCGUGAUUGGCGAUAUACGGUCAGUCACCUAGCGAAAGCGUUAAGUGAUCCACCUGGGGAGUACGAUCGCAAGAUUGAAACUCAAAGGAAUUGACGGGGGCCCGCACAAGCGGUGGAGCAUGUGGUUUAAUUCGAUGAUACGCGAGGAACCUUACCAGGGCUCGAACGCACGUAGACAGUCGCGGAAACGUGAUCUUCUUCGGACUGCGUGCGAGGUGCUGCAUGGCUGUCGUCAGCUCGUGCCGUGAGGUGUCGGGUUAAGUCCCAUAACGAGCGCAACCCCUACUGUUAGUUGCCAGCGAAUCAUGCCGGGGACUCUAACGGAACUGCCCGCGUAAGCGGUGAGGAAGGUGGGGACGACGUCAAGUCAUCACGGCCCUUACGUCC